CUGCGGAAGGAUCAUUACCGAGUUGAUUCGGGCUCCGGCCCGAUCCUCCCACCCUUUGUGUACCUACCUCUGUUGCUUUGGCGGGCCGCGGUCCUCCGCGGCCGGCCCCCCUCCCCGGGGGGUGGCCAGCGCCCGCCAGAGGACCAUCAAACUCCAGUCAGUAAACGAUGCAGUCUGAAAAACAUUUAAUAAACUAAAACUUUCAACAACGGAUCUCUUGGUUCUGGCAUCGAUGAAGAACGCAGCGAAAUGCGAUAAGUAAUGUGAAUUGCAGAAUUCAGUGAAUCAUCGAAUCUUUGAACGCACAUUGCGCCCUUUGGUAUUCCGAAGGGCAUGCCUGUUCGAGCGUCAUUACAACCCUCAAGCUCUGCUUGGUAUUGGGCACCGUCCUUUGCGGGCGCGCCUCAAAGACCUCGGCGGUGGCGUCUUGCCUCAAGCGUAGUAGAACAUACAUCUCGCUUCGGAGCGCAGGGCGUCGCCCGCCGGACGAACCUUCUGAACUUUUCUCAAGGUUGACCUCGGAUCAGGUAGGGAUACCCGCUGAACUUAAGCAUAUCAAUA
This 561-nucleotide ribosomal RNA is filed under the name Botryosphaeria dothidea. RNAcentral describes it as "eukaryotic LSU rRNA". The stretch from base 198 to 351 matches the Rfam family "5.8S ribosomal RNA". The record is from RNAcentral. Lineage: Eukaryota; Fungi; Ascomycota; Dothideomycetes; Botryosphaeriales; Botryosphaeriaceae.